Molecule: microRNA precursor, 210 nt
Organism: Oryza rufipogon (brownbeard rice)
Lineage: Eukaryota; Viridiplantae; Streptophyta; Magnoliopsida; Poales; Poaceae
Rfam family: MIR812 microRNA precursor family
Source: Rfam
CUUGAUUGACAGCCAUAGAUAUCCGUGUUCAUUGUAUCGACCAUCCAUCUUAUUUGAAAAAUUUAUAAAAAAUAUUAAAAAAUUAGUCACAUAUAAAGUACUAUUCAUGUUUUAUCAUCUAAUAACAACAAAAGUAGUAAUCAUAAAAAAAUUUUAAAUAAGACGAACGGUCAAACGUUGAAUAUGAACAGUGCUAAAACUGCAUUUAUU